GGGAGUAUAGCUCAAUGGCAGAGCAUUCGACUGCAGAUCAAGAGGUCGGUGGUUCAAAUCCGCCCGCUCCUU
This 72-nucleotide transfer RNA is filed under the name Paramuricea clavata. It matches the Rfam family "tRNA". Rfam says of the family: Transfer RNA (tRNA) molecules are approximately 80 nucleotides in length. Their secondary structure includes four short double-helical elements and three loops (D, anti-codon, and T loops). Further hydrogen bonds mediate the characteristic L-shaped molecular structure. tRNAs have two regions of fundamental functional importance: the anti-codon, which is responsible for specific mRNA codon recognition, and the 3' end, to which the tRNAs corresponding amino acid is attached (by aminoacyl-tRNA synthetases). tRNAs cope with the degeneracy of the genetic code in two manners: having more than one tRNA (with a specific anti-codon) for a particular amino acid; and 'wobble' base-pairing, i.e. permitting non-standard base-pairing at the 3rd anti-codon position. The record is from Rfam by way of RNAcentral. Lineage: Eukaryota; Metazoa; Cnidaria; Anthozoa; Malacalcyonacea; Plexauridae.